Molecule: ribosomal RNA, 561 nt
Filed under: Acrometopa servillea
Lineage: Eukaryota; Metazoa; Arthropoda; Insecta; Orthoptera; Tettigoniidae
Description: SSU rRNA
Rfam family: Eukaryotic small subunit ribosomal RNA
Source: RNAcentral
AUGAUUCCCGGGACGGCCUGGCGGAGGAGGCGAGGCUGAUGCGUGCACCCGUUGUGGUCUUCCGCUUCGGUUCUUGCGCGCCGGAGGCGGACCCCGAUGAGGCCUACCGCGUCGCUCUUCGCCGAGUGUCGAGGUGGAUCGGCACGUUUACUUUGAACAAAUUAAAGUGCUUAAAUCAGGCCUGUUGCGCCUGAAUACUGUGUGCAUGGAAUAAUGGAAUAGGACCUCGGUUCUAUUUUGUUGGUUUUCGGAACCCGAGGUAAUGAUUAAUAGGGACAGGCGGGGGCAUUCGUAUUGCGACGUUAGAGGUGAAAUUCUUGGAUCGUCGCAAGACGGACCGAAGCGAAAGCAUUUGCCAAGUAUGUUUUCAUUAAUCAAGAACGAAAGUUAGAGGUUCGAAGGCGAUCAGAUACCGCCCUAGUUCUAACCAUAAACGAUGCCAGCUAGCGAUCCGCCGAAGUUCCUCCGAUGACUCGGCGGGCAGCUCCCGGGAAACCAAAGCUUUUGGGUUCCGGGGGAAGUAUGGUUGCAAAGCUGAAACUUAAAGGAAUUGACGGAAGG